This 3012-nucleotide long non-coding RNA is filed under the name Homo sapiens (human). RNAcentral describes it as "HSALNT0134751". Lineage: Eukaryota; Metazoa; Chordata; Mammalia; Primates; Hominidae. The record is from RNAcentral.
CAGGAGUUAGAUUCUAUUAUAUUUAUUUACUCACUAGGAGAGCAUUUAGUGAGUUUACAAUGUGGCGAAAGAGGAGUGGUUCUCAAACCCUAAUCUGCAACAAGAAACAGCCGGGAGCUUGCUUAUACUAAAGCUUCUGAGCUGCCACUCCCAGAGUCCAGCUUAGAGUGCCAUAGGGCCAGGAAUGUGCAUUUGCACAGCUCUCUGGGGAUGCUGAUACAGGGGACCAAAGACUAUCUACUGAGGCCCAGUGUAACUUUACUGUGAGACAACUAAGUCACCUUCCCACCCGGAGAUGCCUCCUGAGCUGACCACAGGGCGGCCACACCUGGCAUCUGGAAGAGGCUCUGGGAGGGUCCAAACAACAAACCACGCGGCGUUCUCUGGUGGCUGUGCUGGGACGAGUGGGCGGAAACAGCCGCAGGACCUGAAGGAAGUCACGCCCAUGGGCCAGACCUAACGUUCUUUAAUGCUGACUCUCAAUUUUUAAAUAGAGCUUCCCUUCCUUAACCAACUGCAAAUCAGAAAAUUGUUGAAUCCCCUACCCCGUGACCUGUAAGCCCCUGCUUCAAGAUAUCCUGUGUGUUAAGGUCAAACCAAUAUGUAGCCUCCAUGUAUUGACUUAUGACUUUGUGUGUAACCUCUGCCUGCCUGCCUUUAGAAACCCUUGCUUGCAAGCCACUGGGAAGGUCAGGUGAGCUGCCUGAUUCUCCUUGCUGGGUGCCCUGAAAAUAAACACCCUCCUUUCUCUCACUACAAAACCUCAGUUUGAAUGUUUGGCUUCACUGCCCUGGAGGCACAGACCUCAGUUCAGUUGGGCAACAUGGGUCUCGGGGUGCUGAAAGCCACUUUUUAUUUUCAUUAGGGACUUGCUCAUGCCAAACAUCCUGAAUUUAAGUAGAACUUACUAGGUUUGGGGUGUUUGUGGGAUGGGGUCCCCUUGUGGAGCCCUGAGCCUUCUGCCAUCCCCUAUCUCUGGUCCCCACUAAUUUUUUUUUUUUUUUUUUGAGAUGACAUUUUGCUCUGUCACCCAGUCUGGAAUGCAGUGGCACAAUUUCAACUGACUGCAACCUCCACGUCUCAGGUUCAAGCCAUUCUCCUGCCUAGCCUCCCAAGUAGCUAGGAUUACAGGCAUGUGCCAUCACACCCGUAAUGUUUGUAUUUUUAGUAGAGAUGGGAUUUCAUCACAUUGGCCAGGCUGGUCUCAAACUCCUGACCUCAAGUGAUCCACCUGCCUUGGCCUCCCAAAAUGCUGAGAUUACAGGCAUGAGCCACCCCAUGCCUGGCCCCUCUGGUUCUCACUAAUUCUAACCUGGAUUGGCUCCUUUGUGCUCCAAUUCUUUCCCUGCUUCAAUGCAAAGGUUUCACUUUCCUUUGAGGCCUUACUGUACAGGCCAACAUCCCGGAGGUGUCAGCCUCUGUCCCCAGUUGACUUUCACAAGCCCACCAAGCACUUGGCAAAAUAAAGGCCUUCCUGUUAACACCAUCUGGUGUUAGGGUACACUGGGUAGCAAAAAUGUGUCCCUUCUGCAUACAUAAUCCACAUAUCCCCAAGCUUUCUCUGUCCACGGUAAUGGCUUGAGCCUCCACUCCUGUGGCCCUUCAGCAAAUCCAGUCCUCUCACCUCCCCAUAUUUUUAAGGGUCCCUUAGGGAGGGGCCAGUUACCUAUUGUCUUACUCUAGAAGUCAUUGCUUGGGUCCUCUUGCAGGUUAACUCUGGCCUUUUGGCAGCUCCUAAUCUGUGCCGCAGAGCUGCCCUCAGCUCAGCCUCUCUGCAGCAGGGUGGGUACAGGAGCCCCCUUCCCACUCCCUGGAGAAUGGUGAACAUUCUCACUACUGAUCGUCUCUGCCUCCACCCUUGCCUGCUCCUGCCCUGCCCUGGAGCUCACCUCCUGGCCCAGAAUCUCUUGCUCCCUGUGAUGGUUAAUAAUGUCAAUUUGAUUGGAUUGAAGGAUGCAAGUAUUGAUCCUGGGUGUGUCUCUGAAGGUGUUGCCAAAGGAGAGUAACAUUUGAGUCAGUGGGCUGAGGAAGGCAGACCCACCCUUAAUCUGGGUGGGCACUAUCUAAUCAGCUGCCAGUGUGGCCAGGAUAUAAAGCAGGCAGAAAAACAUGAAAAAGCUAGAUUGGCUUAGCCUCCCAGCCUACAUGUUUCUCAUGUGCUGGAUGCUUCCUGCCCUCAAACAUCAGACAAGUUCUUCAGCUUUGGAACUUGGACUGGCUUCCUUGCUCCUCAGCUUGCAGAUGGCCUAUUGUGGGACUCUGUGAUCCUCUAAGCUAAUACUACUUAAUAAACUCCCCUUUAUAUAUAUCUAUCUAUCCUAUUAGUUCUGUCCCUCUAGAGAACCCUGACUAAUAUAGAUUUUCGUACCAGGAGUGGUUCUAGAGGAACAGAAUAUUAAGGAUGGAGUUCUUUAGUUGGUUUUGGGGUUUCUGGAGUUGGCUGCUUAAUAUGAUUAGACCCCAAAAUGCUAAGGACUCUACUGCUAAUAGUACAGAGAACACUAAUAGCCAUUGGUGUGAACUCUUCAGAGAAUUAUGCAAAAUAAAUGCAUUUGAUACUCCUGAUUCACCCCUCAUGAGAGGUAAGGAGUUUAGUGACUCUAUACAUAAUACCUUGGACUAUAUGUGGAGAACCAAGGAACGUAAUGAAGUUGGUUGGUUGCUCCUAAGUUCGCUGGGCAAAGUUAUGAAAGAAAAUGAUGAACUCAGGACUUAUACACUCCCUAACCCUUGUCCCUUGCUCCUCCCUAUCUCCUUACCCCAACCAGAGGAAGCAAAAAUGCCUUAAUGCCAUAAAUAAUUUCUACAGACUCCCUAUCUAAAACAAAGAUGGAUUUCUACUUAACAUCUCAGUCUGAAGCACUUGCAUAUAGAUUUCUCCACUGUUUGUUGUUGUUGUUGUUUUCAAGAAGAAGCCUUGCUGGGGAAAAGGAAGAUUCUCUCCAUCCUGCUUCUACCCUACAGUACCCUAAAGGAUACAGCUUUUUUCCUCUAAUGUUUUAUUUUUAAAAG